GCGGCAGACGGGUGAGUAACGCGUGGGAAUCUACCUAUCUCUACGGAAUAACCCAGGGAAACUUGGACUAAUACCGUAUACGCCCUUCGGGGGAAAGAUUUAUCGGAGAUGGAUGAGCCCGCGUUGGAUUAGCUAGUUGGUGGGGUAAAGGCCUACCAAGGCGACGAUCCAUAGCUGGUCUGAGAGGAUGAUCAGCCACAUUGGGACUGAGACACGGCCCAAACUCCUACGGGAGGCAGCAGUGGGGAAUAUUGGACAAUGGGCGAAAGCCUGAUCCAGCCAUGCCGCGUGAGUGAUGAAGGCCCUAGGGUUGUAAAGCUCUUUCAACGGUGAAGAUAAUGACGGUAACCGUAGAAGAAGCCCCGGCUAACUUCGUGCCAGCAGCCGCGGUAAUACGAAGGGGGCUAGCGUUGUUCGGAAUUACUGGGCGUAAAGCGCACGUAGGCGGACUGGUCAGUUAGGGGUGAAAUCCCGGGGCUCAACCCCGGAACUGCCUUUAAUACUGCCAGUCUUGAGUUCGAGAGAGGUGAGUGGAAUUCCGAGUGUAGAGGUGAAAUUCGU
Molecule: ribosomal RNA, 561 nt
Filed under: uncultured Pseudaminobacter sp.
Lineage: Bacteria; Pseudomonadati; Pseudomonadota; Alphaproteobacteria; Hyphomicrobiales; Phyllobacteriaceae
Description: bacterial SSU rRNA
Rfam family: Bacterial small subunit ribosomal RNA
Source: RNAcentral